RNAcentral lists this ribosomal RNA (261 nucleotides) under uncultured archaeon. Its description in RNAcentral is "partial 16S ribosomal RNA". It matches the Rfam family "Archaeal small subunit ribosomal RNA", at positions 748 to 1009 of the family's 1478-position model. The record is from RNAcentral.
AGGGUGUAAACGCUGCCGACUUGGUGUUGGAGGCCCUUCGGGGGCAUUCAGUGCCGGAGAGAAGUUGUUAAGUCGGCCACUUGGGGAGUACGUCCGCAAGGAUGAAACUUAAAGGAAUUGGCGGGGGAGCACCACAACGGGUGGAGCCUGCGGUUUAAUUGGACUCAACGCCGGGAAGCUCACCGGAUAAGACAGCGGAAUGAUUGCCGGGCUGAAGACUCUGCAUGACUAGCUGAGAGGAGGUGCAUGGCGUAGACGUCU